AUAUCUUAGGGCUAUUUGGCUGUGGCAUCUCUUACCUUAUUGAUUAUCAAGUGGGAUUUAGCUUAUCGGGCUGGAUGGGUGGGAAUCUCCCUCCUCUCUUCACUGAUCUACCUGUAUCCCUACUAAAGUUUCAAUGUUGGAAGAAGUUAACCUUCACUUAAAGAGUACUGCUCUUUGCUCAGGGAUGUGUGAGGCUACACUGUGACUCAAAACAAACAUAAUUUUUAUCCUCUCUCCAGCGUUUUUGGAACUCAGUGAAAUAACAGCAAUUUCCCAUAGUCUGAAGAGGUGGCCAUUGCCAUUCAUUUUAGG
RNAcentral lists this small nuclear RNA (312 nucleotides) under Prolemur simus (greater bamboo lemur). Its description in RNAcentral is "7SK RNA (ENSPSMG00000019527.1)". It matches the Rfam family "7SK RNA". From Rfam's summary of the family: 7SK was discovered as an abundant small nuclear RNA in the mid-70s but a possible function has only recently been suggested. Lineage: Eukaryota; Metazoa; Chordata; Mammalia; Primates; Lemuridae. The record is from Rfam by way of RNAcentral.